Long non-coding RNA from Papaver somniferum (opium poppy), 1550 nucleotides. RefSeq lists it as uncharacterized. The record is from RefSeq and is a predicted model, not a curated record. Lineage: Eukaryota; Viridiplantae; Streptophyta; Magnoliopsida; Ranunculales; Papaveraceae. The transcript is spliced from 2 exons.
CUGAUAAGCCUAAUUGAGUCCUCAAACUCUAUAACUGUCCUCGGAAGGGUUUUUAAUUUUUGCACCUAAAAAUAGAAUCAACGAAACAUAGCAAAUCUGUCCAAGGGCAAUUAGAACUUUAUGCAAGUUGCAACAGUGCUCAAUGCAAGAUUAUUGGGAGAAAAAUUUGCUCUAGCAGCUCCACGUCCAUUCAUUUUGGGUCGUUUUGACGUCACCAAACUAUGGUUAACUGUUAUUUGACUGCCGUUUUUUUAGCCUCCGUUUUUCUUAAGAAACCCCAAAUUCAGUAUAAUCUUUUGGCGCAAGUAUAUUGUUUUUGCUGCCAGAAAAAAAAAAUUAGAUCUCUCUAAAUUCCUGCAAUUGAUGAAAUCUAUCAUAUUAUUAGAGCUUUGAACGUCACCCAAAUAUGUACAAUGUUUGAUCCAGAUCAAAAAAUUAUUCUUUUUCUUGUGAAAUAUUGAAGGUGAGUAAUUGCAAACUCCAUAUUUCUUAUCCAUCUGAAAUUGUAGAAAAUAUAAAUCUUCAAGAUAUCUGAGAACCUUAACGAGGUAAUUUUCUUAUACUACCACAUUUAAUUUGAUGAAAUUGUGUUCUAUUAGGACUCUUUACUUUCAGUCUUGUUAAUCACCUAGCAUACUGUUAACUAUUUGUUGAAUGGUCCGUGUGAAUAUAUCAUAGUGAAUUUAUUAGAUAGUAUUGUCGAUCCAACUCAACUAUGUCUUAUGAAUUUCUGUUUCCUUGAUGAGAGAUAGUGAACUUAGUGAUACAGACAUGGGUCUGUUAAGAUAUGGUUAGAAUAUUUACUAGUUAGAAUGAUCCAUUGCAAGAAGGGUGUACUUAUUCUAGCUGCAGUCAGUGUGUCCAAGCGUACAUUGAGUCAACAGCAAGAUCUAGCAUCUAAUGAGCCUCUAGUUUCCACUGAUUCCAUUCAUGAAUGAGCAAUUUUUUAUUCUUUCAAAUGAAGUACUCUUUCCCUCCAAAAUAGGUGAGUUUUUUUCGAUUCCAAUCAAGAACUCUUGCGGAGUAACAUGUAAUUCACAUAGGCAACCCUUGCUCAGGUCUGGAGAAACAAGAAAGCAUCACGUAAAUCAAAAUUUAUGGCUGUGAAGACAUAAAACCCCUCCUCCGACUGUCCCAAGAGUUGUUUUGCGACCAAAAUAGGCCUCAAUUAACCGUGUAGAUAUUCCCAUUCACUUCAAAUGAAUAUCUCUGGUGUAGAGGAACCACUAACAUUGGACGGUGAAGGAACUCAUAACCUUGUCGAAAACCAAAGCUUUUUAGCACUUAUGCUGGACUAAUGCUAUUCGAGGCUGCGUUGUCACAUGUCCAGGUUUAUGGUCUCAUAUGUCGCAGACAGUGCUACGCAGUAGCGUCAUUGAAAGGAUACAAGGCUUGUGUUGUAUUUUGUAUAUUUUGUAAACUUGAUGUCGCGAGCCAAACUAAUCUAAUUUAACCUUUAUGAAAACAUAUCUGGGAUUAAGAACUCCAAACUAGUAGUCAUUGUAUAGUGAAGUAAGCUUUGAAAGGUAUUCUGUGAAACAAUUAUUGCA